GCAGGCUCCACCUCCUGGGCUCAAGUGUUCCUCCUGCCUCAGCCUCCCAAGUAGGUGGUACUGAAUAUAAGUUCAGCUAAUUGUAGAAUUCUAGGCUAACAGUUAACUUCUGUCAGCCCUUUGGAAAUAUACUAACGUCUUCAGACUUUCAUUGUUGCUAUUGAAAAGUGUAUUCAUUUUUUUAUGGCUGUCACAAAUUAUCAUGACUUUACUGGAUUAAAAGAGCACAAAUUUAUUGUUUCAAAGUUCUGUAGGUCAAAAGUCAGGAAUGGAUCUCACUGGGCUAAAAUCAAGGUGUUGGUCAGCUGGCUUUAUUCCUUUCUGAGGGCUCUUGAGUUUGUUUCCUUGCUCAUGCAGAUGUUGGAAGAAUUCAGUUCCAUGCAGUUAAAGGACUGAGGGUCUUGCUCUGUCACCCAGGCUGGAGUGCAGUUGCUCUAUCAUGACUCACUGCAGCCUCAAAUGCUUGGACUCGAGCAAUCCUUCAGGCUAAAAGGUUUAUGAAGACAUCUGUCUUGUCCGGCAUCAUAUCCUGGGACCCACAAAGUGACUGAAAUAUAUCUGGUGGUCAAUAUAUAUUUGCAUCUUUCAAUUUAGACCGGCCACAUUUCAAGUGCUCAAUAGCCGCAUGUAGCUAGCGGCUACAAUAUUGAACAGUGCAGCUCUGGAAAUUUAAAAGUGAGUAAGAUAUGAUCCCUAUUCUCAACAUUUCACAAAGGGAAGUCUCAUCAUGUAAACAGAUAAAAUAUAGUACAAUUUAUGUGGCAAGGUAAUAUUUUGAGAUAAAAAUCAAAGAUUUUCUUUCCCGGGAGUUUCUUCUUGCUCUUUGUUCUUCCACCUAUUGAGUCCUUGCUACUUCUUAUUAAGGGCGAAAAGGAUAAAGAUGAGAACAAAGUCUAUAUAUAAAUAUAUGUAUAGUUUUUUGAGAACUGCCUGCUGGGUGCAGUGGCUCACAUCUGUAAUCCCAGCACUUCGGGAGGCCGAGGCGGGUGGAUCACGAGGUCAGGAGUUCGAGACCAGCCUGGCCAACAUGGUGAAACCCCGUAUAACUGUAUGUAUAUAAUUGUAUGUAUCUAUAUGUUUGUGUUUACAAGUACAUAUAUAUAUAUGUAAUUAUUUUUAAUUCACAGAAGAGAGUAUGGUCUUGAAAUUCUGGCUUUCAGAGUUAGCUUUUCUGAGAGGAAAAGGGCUUUUUGAACCAAAAGCUAAAAACCAGAAGGAUUCAGAGCAUGGGUUGUUUUUUUUUAUUAUUUUAUUUUGUUUACCAUAAAUGACAGAGCAGAGAGUAAUACAAAAUAUUCUAAGAACAUUUUUCUCAUUUCAAGACAAAUGAAAGUUCUUUCUUCCAGCUGGUGGGAAAAGAAGUAUCAGAAGUGAUGUGACUAGAGCUCUUGGGGGAGCUUGGGAAAGGGCUCCCUUCACUACCCCCACUCCCUUGAGAGCCCUGGGAGUCAAGAGGGGGCAGAACAAUGGAAAUCUCGGAAUAAGAACAAUUGGAGGGACUCACAGAGCAGACAGGACCCUGGCCUGACUCUGGUGGGUGCAGUCCCUCAUCCAGCUUCAUCACCUGAGUGGAGAGUGGCAAUGGCUGGAGAAGUCUCUGGAGCAGGUGAGGACCACUACCCAAGACCCUGCAUUCAGCUUGGAGGAUGAACAUGCUCAAAAAUUUCCUGUGUGGCAGGAGGAACACAGACAUGGCCUGGAAAGGAAUUUCUUCAGCAUGGAAAAGACAUAGAGUGGCCUGUGCAGACACUACCUGAGUGUGAAAGGCACAGGAGACUG
This 1779-nucleotide long non-coding RNA is filed under the name Homo sapiens (human). RNAcentral's name for it is "HSALNT0314201". The record is from RNAcentral. Lineage: Eukaryota; Metazoa; Chordata; Mammalia; Primates; Hominidae.